This 263-nucleotide ribosomal RNA is filed under the name uncultured bacterium. RNAcentral describes it as "partial 16S ribosomal RNA". It matches the Rfam family "Bacterial small subunit ribosomal RNA", at positions 793 to 1055 of the family's 1533-position model. The record is from RNAcentral.
GUCCGCGCCCUAAACGAUGGAUACUAGUUGUCGGGAUUCCUAAUAGUCUCGGUAACGAAGCAAACGCAUUAAGUAUCCCGCCUGGGGAGUACGGUCGCAAGAUUAAAACUCAAAGGAAUUGACGGGGCCCGCACAAGCGGUGGAGCAUGUGGUUCAAUUCGAUGCUACGCGAAGAACCUUACCUGGGCUUGACAUCCCACGCUAGCCUGUGAAAGCAGGGGUUCCCUUCGGGGACGUGGUGACAGGUGCUGCAUGGCUGUCGU